UGGAACGGUGACCACGGCGGACGACGCAGC
Molecule: non-coding RNA, 30 nt
Filed under: Bombyx mori (domestic silkworm)
Lineage: Eukaryota; Metazoa; Arthropoda; Insecta; Lepidoptera; Bombycidae
Source: RNAcentral